CGUGUAGGCGGCUUGGUAAGUCAGAUGUGAAAGCCCUGGGCUUAACCCAGGAAGUGCAUUUGAAACUGUCAGGCUUGAGUAGGGGAGAGGAAGGUGGAAUUCCUGGUGUAGAGGUGAAAUUCGUAGGUAUCAGGAGGAACACCGGUGGCGAAGGCGACCUUCUGGCCCUAUACUGACGCUGAGACGCGAAAGCGUGGGUAGCAAACA
Molecule: ribosomal RNA, 207 nt
Filed under: uncultured Pseudomonadota bacterium
Lineage: Bacteria; Pseudomonadati; Pseudomonadota
Description: uncultured proteobacterium partial 16S ribosomal RNA
Rfam family: Bacterial small subunit ribosomal RNA
Source: RNAcentral